Molecule: ribosomal RNA, 486 nt
Filed under: uncultured bacterium
Lineage: Bacteria
Description: partial 16S ribosomal RNA
Rfam family: Bacterial small subunit ribosomal RNA
Source: RNAcentral
AUUGAACGCUGGCGGCAUGCCUUACACAUGCAAGUCGAACGGCAGCACGGGUGCUUGCACCUGGUGGCGAGUGGCGAACGGGUGAGUAAUACAUCGGAACAUGUCCUGUAGUGGGGGAUAGCCCGGCGAAAGCCGGAUUAAUACCGCAUACGCUCUACGGAUGAAAGCGGGGGCCCUUCGGGCCUCGCGCUAUAGGGUUGGCCGGUGGCUGAUUAGCUAGUUGGUGGGGUAAAGGCCUACCAAGGCGACGAUCCGUAGCUGGUCUGAGAGGACGACUAGGAACACUGGAACUUGGACACGGUCGAGACUCGUAAGGGCGGGAGCAGUGGGGAAUAGUGGACAAUGGGCGAAGGCCUGAUCCAGCCAUGCCGCGUGUGUGAAGAAGGGCCCCGGAUGGGGAAGAAGGUUAAGGUGGGAGGAAGGGCAAUAAGUUAAUACCUUGCGGUUUUGACGUUACCAAAAGAAUAAGCACCGGCUAACUUCGUG